AGACUCUUACAAAAUUCAAAUCAAAAGAUAAGGGGAUUACGCGAUAAACCGAGUCAGUUGCAUAAAAAAAAGAGAUUCAUACUAAAGAGAUGCAACAAGUCAGUAAUAGUAAGAAGCCUGGAAUUAGCAACAUGUCCAUACAAAAAAAAGGAUGUUGCAAAGACCGCGGCUAAAAAAAGUGUACUUCUCAGUAUAGGUCGUGCCUUCAGACAUUAA
This is a non-coding RNA of Vicia faba (fava bean), 216 nucleotides long. Lineage: Eukaryota; Viridiplantae; Streptophyta; Magnoliopsida; Fabales; Fabaceae. The record is from the annotation of a GenBank genome assembly.